CUGAAUUACGUGCCGUUUAAUCAAUCGAUCAUAGCCUCACGGUAAGAGCCAGCCACUUUAGCAUCUUUAGCAUGCCGAGCGUUCACUUGCCUGUUGUCCCACGGUAAACAUAUGAUUUAAUAACUCCACAGAGUACCGAGCUCCGUGACUGCCGUGUCAUCCCCGACUAACCCAGACUCUACUGAUGGGAGGGUGGGAUCCGUGGUAAAACCCGGAAUGGAUUAAUCUUUUCUGUCAAAGCUGGGGGAUACGGGAAUGGAUUGAAUUGGAUGGAUUGAAUGCAAGGACUGGAUUAUAUGGAAUGGACUGUCGCCCAAUUCAAUGAACUGUAAAAUACAAGGAAGAAAACUGAA
Epinephelus lanceolatus (giant grouper) is the source of this 353-nucleotide non-coding RNA. NCBI's taxonomy places the organism in Eukaryota, Metazoa, Chordata, Actinopteri, Perciformes, Serranidae. The record is from RefSeq and is a predicted model, not a curated record.